RNAcentral lists this ribosomal RNA (399 nucleotides) under uncultured bacterium. Its description in RNAcentral is "bacterial SSU rRNA". It matches the Rfam family "Bacterial small subunit ribosomal RNA", at positions 29 to 423 of the family's 1533-position model. The record is from RNAcentral.
AAUUAACGCUGGCAGCGUGCAUAACACAUGCAAGUCGAACGAGACCGUUUGAGAUUAUAUCAAUGACGGUUGAGUGGCAGACGAGUGAGUAACACGUAAGAAAUCUACCCUGAAGUGGGGAACAACUUGCUGAAAGGCGAGCUAAUACCCCAUAGUGUUGUCGGCCGACAUCGGUUGACUCCUAAAGGCUUCGGCCGCUACAGGAUGAUCUUGCGACCUAUCAGCUAGUUGGUGAGGUAACGGCCCACCAAGGCUAUGACGGGUAUCCGGCCUGAAAGGGCGAACGGACACGGAGGCACUGAGACACGGGCCUCACUCCUACGGGAGGCAGCAGUGGGAAUCUUGGACAAUGGGGAAACCCUGAUCCAGCAACGCUGCGUGAAGGAUGAAGGCCUCGGU